RNAcentral lists this transfer-messenger RNA (377 nucleotides) under Puniceicoccales bacterium. It matches the Rfam family "transfer-messenger RNA". From Rfam's summary of the family: Bacterial tmRNA, also known as 10Sa RNA or SsrA, is named for its dual tRNA and mRNA-like properties. Its role is to liberate the mRNA from a stalled ribosome. To accomplish this part of the tmRNA is used as a reading frame that ends in a translation stop signal. Lineage: Bacteria; Pseudomonadati; Verrucomicrobiota; Opitutia; Puniceicoccales. The record is from RNAcentral.
GGGGGUGCCAUGGAUUCGAUUGUGUAUUGUAGGUUAAUACUGCAUGUCGGAGUUGACGGUCGGCUUCGUUAUCAAACCGUUAAAUAAUAAAUGGCAAUAAUGUCAUAAAUGUUGACUUCAGCAAUGGAGCCAACAGAGCCGCAGCUUAGCUGCGGCCCAUCAUCUUGUUCGACGCUCGAUGGGGCAAGAAUGGUGUCGACUUAUCGAGCGUUCACAUGGAAUUUCGUGGUGUUCCAUGUGAAUAACUUACACCGCGGUAGUUAUGGUAUGAUAUGCCAAUGCAUGAUACCAUAAUGAAAAUUAAUCAUUGGACAAGCAUGUAGGCGUGUUUUCCGAAGAUAUGCAAGACGCGGGUUCAAUUCCCGCCACCUCCACCA